GAUGAAGAACGUAGUGAAAUGCGAUACGUAAUGUGAAUUGCAAAUUCAGUGAAUCAUCGAAUCUUUGAACGCACAUUGCGCCCGCCAGUAUUCUGGCGGGCAUGCCUGUUCGAGCGUCAUUACAACCCUCAAGCCCCCCGGCUUGGUGUUGGGGACCGGCCACCGGUGCCCUGCUGCUUCCGCGGCAGGCGCGCCCGGCCGCCCCCGAAAUGAAUUGGCGGCCCCGUCGCGGCCUCCCUCUGCGUAGUAGCACACAUCUCGCAGCUGGAGCGCGGCGCGGCCACUGCCGUAAAACGCACCAACUUUUUUUUACAGUUGACCUCGAAUCAGGUAGGAAUACCCGCUGAACUUAAGCAUAUCAAUAAGCGGAGGA
This 373-nucleotide unclassified non-coding RNA is filed under the name soil metagenome. Its description in RNAcentral is "partial contains 5.8S ribosomal RNA, internal transcribed spacer 2, and large subunit ribosomal RNA". The stretch from base 1 to 119 matches the Rfam family "5.8S ribosomal RNA", at positions 35 to 154 of the family's 154-position model. The record is from RNAcentral.